This 392-nucleotide ribosomal RNA is filed under the name uncultured Gammaproteobacteria bacterium. RNAcentral describes it as "bacterial SSU rRNA". It matches the Rfam family "Bacterial small subunit ribosomal RNA", at positions 370 to 779 of the family's 1533-position model. Lineage: Bacteria; Pseudomonadati; Pseudomonadota; Gammaproteobacteria. The record is from RNAcentral.
AAUGGAGGAAACUCUGAUGCAGCGAUGCCGCGUGAGUGAAGAAGGCCCUUGGGUUGUAAAGCUCUUUCGUCGGGGAAGAAAAUGACUGUACCCGAAUAAGAAGGUCCGGCUAACUUCGUGCCAGCAGCCGCGGUAAUACGAAGGGACCUAGCGUAGUUCGGAAUUACUGGGCUUAAAGAGUUCGUAGGUGGUUGAAAAAGUUGGUGGUGAAAUCCCAGAGCUUAACUCUGGAACUGCCAUCAAAACUUUUCAGCUAGAGUAUGAUAGAGGAAAGCAGAAUUUCUAGUGUAGAGGUGAAAUUCGUAAAUAUUAGAAAGAAUACCAAUUGCGAAGGCAGCUUUCUGGAUCAUUACUGACACUGAGGAACGAAAGCAUGGGUAGCGAAGAGGAUU